Paramuricea clavata is the source of this 458-nucleotide non-coding RNA. The record is from the annotation of a GenBank genome assembly. NCBI's taxonomy places the organism in Eukaryota, Metazoa, Cnidaria, Anthozoa, Malacalcyonacea, Plexauridae.
AAAUAAUUUUCUUUUUGCACUACAGUAUUUUGUACGUUUGCAAAAAACUUUGACAGCUUUCAAAGCAAUUUGCUCUAUAAAGAGUUUAAUAAAACAAUUAUUGUAUCAAAUACCAAUUGAAAAGAUAUGGACUACUGUAUGGAGCCAAAUGAAGAGCGGCAAGGAAACGACAAGAAAGCCGAACGUCUCGCGAAAAGGAGGGAGCUAGCGAAGACGACAACGUUUGCUCGAGGAGACUGCUGAGGAAAGAGAAGCUCGCCUGGGAAAGCGUAGAGAAGCAUGGAAAAAGAGACUGCUGAAGCGAAAGGUAAGCAAAGGCUUGUCUUCACAACGCUAUGUACCAAUGAUACUGUAGCUAUACAAGUUGAAGUAUGAUAUUCGACCCUCUAUAUUCGACUAUUUCUUCACAAUUUUCCAAUAAAGAGUUUGUCAUGACACGCUCAAGUCAGUAUAACCAG